AAUAGAUACCCGGGUAGUCCACGCCGUAAACGAUGAGUGCUAAGUGUUAGGGGGUUUCCGCCCCUUAGUGCUGCAGCUAACGCAUUAAGCACUCCGCCUGGGGAGUACGGUCGCAAGACUGAAACUCAAAGGAAUUGACGGGGGGCCCGCACAAGCGGUGGAGCAUGUGGUUUAAUUCGAAGCAACGCGAAGAACCUUACCAGGUCUUGACAUCCCGCUGACCGCUAUGGAGACAUGGCUUUCCCUUCGGGGACAGCGGUGACAGGUGGUGCAUGGUUGUCGUCAGCUCGUGUCGUGAGAUGUUGGGUUAAGUCCCGCAACGAGCGCAACCCUUGUUCUUAGUUGCCAUCAUUCAGUUGGGCACUCUAAGGAGACUGCCGGUGAUAAACCGGAGGAAGGUGGGGAUGACGUCAAAUCAUCAUGCCCCUUAUGACCUGGGCUACACACGUGCUACAAUGGACGGUACAAACGGUUGCGAAGUCGCGAGACGGAGCCAAUCCGAGAAAACCGUUCUCAGUUCGGAUUGUAGG
RNAcentral lists this ribosomal RNA (530 nucleotides) under uncultured bacterium. RNAcentral's name for it is "bacterial SSU rRNA". It matches the Rfam family "Bacterial small subunit ribosomal RNA", at positions 777 to 1304 of the family's 1533-position model. The record is from RNAcentral.